Molecule: transfer RNA, 71 nt
Filed under: Magnetospirillum sp.
Lineage: Bacteria; Pseudomonadati; Pseudomonadota; Alphaproteobacteria; Rhodospirillales; Rhodospirillaceae
Description: tRNA-Arg
Rfam family: tRNA
About the family: Transfer RNA (tRNA) molecules are approximately 80 nucleotides in length. Their secondary structure includes four short double-helical elements and three loops (D, anti-codon, and T loops).
Source: RNAcentral
CGCUGAAUGACGGAAUAGCAAACGGUUUCCUAAACCGUAGGUCAGGGGUUCGAAUCCCUUCCGGGACGCCA